Molecule: long non-coding RNA, 1050 nt
Filed under: Melopsittacus undulatus (budgerigar)
Lineage: Eukaryota; Metazoa; Chordata; Aves; Psittaciformes; Psittaculidae
Description: lncRNA (ENSMUNG00000011349.2)
Source: RNAcentral
UUCAAAGAGCAGGAAGGAGUGAGAGAAAGAAUCCACCCCUCAGAUGACUACAUAAGGAAAUGGGGGGGGGGGGUAAGAAACCCAGUUCUUCGUCUCAGUUUUGCCCAACAGCUGCUCCCCUUUUCCCUCUGAAGCAGUAGCAAGAACAGCAAGGAAAAAUAUACCACGGCAGCAGGCAAAUAAAUAAACUUAAAUGCGGCGGCAGGCAGGGAAGGAUCUUAAAGAGCGACGAGGAUUAGAGGGCCAAAAGUCAGUUUUUGGGGAAAAAAAAAGGAAAAAAAAUUGCUUUAUGGGAGGGGGAAAACCCCCCUUUAAACAGUCACGCCCCCUUUUGCAAUGACCGGUCCUUGCACUGCGUGUAAAUCCGACAUCAGCAACCUGGAACCGUUCGGAGACUGGCGCGAUGCGCUGCCGAGGUGCACGCGUGUGCGCAGCCGAGGCAGCCGCAGCGGGCGGAACGUGGUGCGCGGAGAAGGAAGAAAUAAUCUUAUGGAAGAGAACAGAAUGAAAUGGCUGCAGAUGAACCUGACCCAGUAUUUACUUGUGUGUCUAACAGAAAAAAACGUAUAUAUUUUCAUGGAUCUCAGAAGCUUGCAAAUUUCUCUCCGAAGUAUGAAAGAAGAUUCUUUGAUUUGUUGCAUUCUGCAGGUUCUCUGUGGGCCAAUAUAAUAGGAUGCUGCAAGCAAGAGAGAGGAAUUACUCCCCAGGCAAGCAUAAAGGGAGAAAUAAAAUGUAACAGCAGUACAAACUCUAAUUUGGACUGAAAGUUUGGAGUGACACAAAUUAAAACACUGAAGUCUGGAAGAGUUUUAGUGUUGACUUUAGUGAGAAUUUUGCCCAGUUUAAUGUAGCAUAAUCCAGGCCAGGAUUUAAGAACACCCUGCGUGCUGAUACCAGGCAGCACCAAACUGUAUUGAAUCAGAUAGAGAGUGGAAAGUCAGAGCAUGCUGUCUGUUCUGAGUAGCUUCAAGAAAUAGUACCUUUUAAAAUCUGUAUGAUCAUUUUUAGACAAAGAAAAAACGCCCCAAUACUUAUUAAUAUCAUCAUCUG